Long non-coding RNA from Oreochromis aureus, 671 nucleotides. NCBI's taxonomy places the organism in Eukaryota, Metazoa, Chordata, Actinopteri, Cichliformes, Cichlidae. The record is from Ensembl.
UCACAACAAUAGCACAAUGAGGAAGUUACCUUUUUAUGGUCUUGUUCACUUUAUAGAUCACUCACUCAGGUAUACAGGUGUCACAGUUCAGUUGUGAGGAUUUCCAGAAACAGGAAAGAAACUGUUCUUCCUGCUGCUGCUUCUGAUCUGCUCACAAAUCAGAUGGAGGCAGAUAAAGAUAGAGAUACUGCUAACCAGCACAUCGCACUCCAGCAACCCUAUCCUCAGGACAUCCACGCUGUGCUGAGAGAGCUGACCGCCGCAUUGGCUGAACAGAGGGUGAAGAUUGCAUUCCUAGAAAAAGAGAAUCAAGACCAUGUGACAAAACUGAAAGAACUGGAAAAAAAGGAGAUUGAGACUGACAAGAAGUUGCAGCAGCUACAAGGGUCCACAGGCACAAGAAGGCGCACAGCACAUUCCCAGCCAUUCUGAUGAGUACCUGUGGCUCAGUUGAUUUCUUCGCUGGAUUGAGACGAGGGGCCCUGGAGGCUUUCCCCCCCCUUUGUACCCGGUCUUCCUGCCACUUACCCCGAGCUGGCCUGGAUGUGUGUCACCUUCUUGCAGUGUGCUUGAUGUAUCCAAGUGUUCCUUCCAGCAACUUCACCGCUGUGGUCGUCAUCAGCAUCCGAUAUGGACCUUCCCACCGUGGACUGGACCAGCACUUCCUCUCC